UCCCACCAUUGCGGCCCCAACUACGUCCUCUCCGAUUCCCUUCUUCCUCGUUGCACGAUCGGAGACUAAUAUGGAGGAUUAGCGUCGAAUAAGACCAAGGCGCAAUCGACCGUAAAUUCUUCAGGGUCCAUCCGUCGCGUUGAUUUGAGCCACUCUGAGGUGGCCCACUUGUGGGUUCGCUAGCUGCAUCCAAUCACAGUGUGGGUGGGUGGUGUAUCGGGCAUCCGUUGUUCCAAGCACGGAUGGUUUCUUUUCUUAUAAACAAGACCCCAUAGCUCUGCCCGCCGAGACCCAAAUCCGGUGGGCCGCGAAGAGUCGGAGCGUGAUCCAUGGCGGUCUGGGUCUUGUUGUCGACCACCUUGCUUUCUUCCCUUCUAUCCCUGGUACCCUUCUCCGCUGUCGCGGCCGUGAUCUCGGGGCGGCGGGGGAGGCGGAGGGCGGUGGGGUUCUUCCAUUCUUACACCAACGACGGCGGUCGCGGGGAGAGGGUCCUGUGGUGCGCCCUGAGAGCCGUGCAGGAAGAGAACCCCGAUCUCGGCUACGCCGUCUUUACUAGUCAUUUACAUUAUGAAAUUGCAUUCUGCUAUCCAGGUGCAAAGUGGUGUACUAUACAAUAUUUAGUUGGUUGUAUGGGUCGGUGGGAUCCUGUGCACAUCUUGCAAUGGUAAACUCCUCAUGGGCCAGGUCACAUAUAGAUUGUCUGUGGAAGAUUCCUCCACUCACUAAGAGAGUGUACCCUCCCUGUGAUACUUCAUCCCUUCAGGUAUAUAUAUAAUUCUUGUAAAUUGGCAGCCUGGCUUAUACCUGACUGUUGCUUAACAAUUUUAGAAUGCAUGACAAAUUUCCAAGCCAAUUAUAUUUAAUUUUGAUGUCUUGUUUCUUUACAAAACCAACUUUAGAGAGCUAAGUUUCACGGUUUAGCUAAAUGUGUCUUAUUACCUGCAAUUGUUUAAAAGAAUUAGCGAGUUGGACAUUUCAAAACAUCCUAUUUUAUCAUCUGGCUCCAUUUAAUUAUUCACUGCUAGAGAUUUAUUGAACCAUCAUUGAUGAAAGAAAGUACUGAAUGUCCAAGCGGAUGCUUCCUCUGGGAAAGCUAGUUAGGAGUCCUGUGAUUGUAUCAGUUGCCCAGUUUCGCCCAGAGAAGGUAAUGUCUGUGAAUGCCCUCAUCAUGUGGGCAUAUGGUUAGUUGAUGUCACAAUAUUAACUGAACACUUGAUUCUCAUCAAGGCUCAUAGCCUUCAACUGGAAGCGUUUGCACAAUCUGUUGGAAUUCUAGAUCAGGACAUGCCUAGGCCAAAGCUCCAAUUUGUGGGUAGUUGUCGGAAUAAGCAGGAUGAAGAAAGUUUGCAGAAGCUCAAAGAGAGAUGCAGGGAACUAAAUUUGGAUAAUUUUGUGGAGUUCUGCAGGGAUGCUGCGAAUAGGUUCGAUCUGCAGCACUAGUUUUCUUUCAACUUGAAAAUUCCUAGCUGCUAGUAUAUUUUAUGUUUUGGAUUCCCUUUUUUGUCUCUAGAUUUGUUUUCACUGUACACAACUAACAAAAUUUUCUGGUUUUUUCUUAAAUUUUGGUGGAUCAAAACAGAGUUAGUGACAUCUAUGUUUGAGUUUAGGUGUACCAAGUAGAAUUUCCCAUAUAAGGACUCCGUUAUCCUUUAUAUACUGUUUGGUUUUGUGCUACCCUUUUAUGUUAUUGACUAAUCGAAGCAUAUCCAGAAAGAGCAUAAUGAGUAGCUUGAGGCUGGAGAUGUGCAGGAGGAUAAGGACUUCAACAUUCCAUAUGUUCUUGAAGGCCCAGGGUUAUUUACUAAAACAAAGCUGAACUUGUAUGGUUUUUGUGGAUAUUUCUUUUCUACCCUUAUGGAAACCAGAAGUCAGUUCCAUAGUUUGCAGGUAGAGAUGAACGACGACAGAUUUUUACUCCACCAUUAGCAUGGAUGGAACUUCCAUUAAUGGUCUACUCAUUUGUCUGCCGUGUCAGAACUUUGACCAGUGGUCAAUUUGAAGUUCCAGUGGAAUCGAUCUAGAACUGUUCUGAGCAAUACCAUUCUUUCAACUAGUUUGACCGUCUCCUGUAAACUACGACUGACCCAUUAAUGCACGACUGAAUAUAGUGUCCAAAGGAUAACAAGUUAUUGGAUACCUUCAGACUCGAGGGAAUAUCAAAGGUCUUCUGAGAGAGGGAACAAGAAAGUUUUAGAUCAAUCUAAUCGUGGCUAUGCAUCUGAGCUCAAACUUUGACAUACUAUUUGCAGAACAUGCGAUUUUGGAUGUCGUCUUGUGCCUGAACUUUAUGUUUAGAAGUUCUUGAAACUCGAGAGGAAUCUUCACUACAUUAUCUAAAACUCUACUGCCUCCAAUGCAUAAAUGAUAUACAGUUUCUUCUAUUGUUUGCCAUGUUUCCGUCAGCUCUUUUUGAAUUGUUCACCAUAACAAGGACUAGAUCCAACUUCUGGGAGGUGCUGUUGCCGGACUUCACUCUAUGAUUAAUGAACAUUUUGGAAAUAGUGUCGUAGGAGUACAUGGCAUCUGGAGUGAUACCAAUUGCUCAUAAUUCAGCAGGUCCCAAGAUGGACAUAAUUUUGAAUGAAGGUGGACGUAAAACAGGAUUUCUAGCAUCAAACAAAGUGGAAUAUACUGAAGCUAUCCUCAAAGGCAGUUCAGCCUAUUCUAGCACCCAAAUCUUCUUCUUGAACUUGAUUCAAUGAUACUGUAUUCUUCUCGGAUGAUAACAUUUUCCAUGCAUGCUGAGCAUGUUCUGUGGGUAAUAAUUUCCUUUUCUUUUGAUAAAUCUUGAAAUAUACAACACCGAUUUUUGAUAGGUUUAGUAAUGGUGAUGACUAUUUUAUCUAA
Molecule: long non-coding RNA, 2847 nt
Organism: Musa acuminata AAA Group (dessert banana)
Lineage: Eukaryota; Viridiplantae; Streptophyta; Magnoliopsida; Zingiberales; Musaceae
Exons: 3
Source: RefSeq, a predicted model, not a curated record